GUCCACGCCGUAAACGAUGGGCACUAGGUGUGGGAGGUGUCGACUCCUCCCGUGCCGUCGCUAACGCACUAAGUGCCCCGCCUGGGGAGUACGGCCGCAAGGCUAAAACUCAAAGGAAUUGACGGGGGCCCGCACAAGCAGCGGAGCAUGUGGUUUAAUUCGACGCAACGCGAAGAACCUUACCUGGGCUUGACAUGUAGGUGACCGCCGUGGAAACACGGUUUUCCUUCGGGACACCUUCACAGGUGGUGCAUGGCUGUCGU
Molecule: ribosomal RNA, 263 nt
Filed under: uncultured bacterium
Lineage: Bacteria
Description: partial 16S ribosomal RNA
Rfam family: Bacterial small subunit ribosomal RNA
Source: RNAcentral